GCUGGGUAUGGUGGCGCACACCUGUAAUCCCAGCCACAUGGGAGGCUGAGGCAGGAGAAUUGCUUGAACCCAGGAAGCGGAGGAUGCAGUGAGCCAAAAUCACGCCACUGCAUUCCAGCCUGGGUGACAGAGCGAGACUCCAUCUCAA
RNAcentral lists this small RNA (148 nucleotides) under Callithrix jacchus (white-tufted-ear marmoset). Its description in RNAcentral is "Metazoan signal recognition particle RNA (ENSCJAG00000080809.1)". The record is from Rfam by way of RNAcentral. Lineage: Eukaryota; Metazoa; Chordata; Mammalia; Primates; Cebidae.